Molecule: transfer RNA, 815 nt
Filed under: uncultured cyanobacterium
Lineage: Bacteria; Bacillati; Cyanobacteriota
Description: partial 16S-23S ribosomal RNA intergenic spacer
Rfam family: tRNA (bases 259-331)
Source: RNAcentral
CAGGGAGACACAAAACUGAUCAUGAUGUCUGAGUAUUUAUUCUUAGGCCUUGAUCCUGUCACCUUAGGUCGAUCGGUACCUCAGAUUAAUGACUAUCAAAAACUAUUUAUAUUAGUUUUGUCUUUGAUUUCAGUUCCUAAACUUGUCUAGGUCACACCCCACAAGGGUUACUCCUGGGCCAUUAGCUCAGGUGGUUAGAGCGCACCCCUGAUAAGGGUGAGGUCCCUGGUUCAAGUCCGGGAUGGCCCAUUCGGUGUUGGGGGUAUAGCUCAGUUGGUAGAGCGCCUGCUUUGCAAGCAGGAUGUCAGCGGUUCGAGUCCGCUUACCUCCACUGACCUCCCCCUUUUGUACCAAAAUGGAGAGAACCUUGUGUGAUGUGAUUUAGAUAUUCCGCUGAUUGAACCUAGCUUCUUAUCAUCCCAUUUCUAAUUUUUAACUUAGAAAAUGGUUGACAGGAUGCUGGGCUCAUAAGGACUUUAGUCUUUAUUAAGUUCGGCAGAACCUUGACAACUGCAUAGGUGAGUCUGGAAAAGAAAAAAGCAUCUCAUGGAUGCAUGAUUCUUGGGAAUCAGCUAAUGCAAUCUGCGUCAGUAGAGAGCUGAGGUUGAGGAACGAGAAUGAUGUUUGAUUCUUGAGUCAAGAGCCGAGACUCUAUAGCGUUCUUUCGAUGUCAUCGAGGCAUCGAGAGUUUGAUUGGUCAUUCAAACCAUCUUCAAUGACAAGCAAUUCAGUUUAACUGGAGAAGUUUGAGAUUGAAGCCAGGUGAAUUGCUAAGAAUACGUAUUCAACUACGUGAAGCGUUAUAGAGAUUAAUU